Molecule: long non-coding RNA, 207 nt
Filed under: Mytilus galloprovincialis (Mediterranean mussel)
Lineage: Eukaryota; Metazoa; Mollusca; Bivalvia; Mytilida; Mytilidae
Source: RNAcentral
GUCAUCAUCUUUGUCUUAUCUUCCUGUGUUUGAAAAUAUGCACAACAUAGCAAGAGGUGAAUAUGGUUUAAAUUUAUCCAUGUCUGUAUUAAGCAUUUUAUUGAUAAUAUAAACUCUGAUAUUCAAUUUUGCACCUCGAUGUGUAUGUAAAUUAUCAAAUACUUGUCAAGAAAAAACAUGGUUAUUAAAAAUUACACAAUAAGCAGA